This 225-nucleotide ribosomal RNA is filed under the name uncultured Flavobacterium sp. Its description in RNAcentral is "partial 16S ribosomal RNA". It matches the Rfam family "Bacterial small subunit ribosomal RNA", at positions 568 to 792 of the family's 1533-position model. The record is from RNAcentral. Lineage: Bacteria; Pseudomonadati; Bacteroidota; Flavobacteriia; Flavobacteriales; Flavobacteriaceae.
UCCGUAGGCGGUUAGAUAAGUCAGUGGUGAAAGCCCAUCGCUCAACGGUGGAACGGCCAUUGAUACUGUUUAACUUGAAUUAUUAGGAAGUAACUAGAAUAUGUAGUGUAGCGGUGAAAUGCUUAGAGAUUACAUGGAAUACCAAUUGCGAAGGCAGGUUACUACUAAUGGAUUGACGCUGAUGGACGAAAGCGUGGGUAGCGAACAGGAUUAGAUACCCUUGUA